CCUACGGGUGGCUGCAGUCGAGAAUCAUUCACAAUGGGCGAAACUCUGAUGGUGCGACGCCGCGUGGGGGAAUGCAGGUCUUCGGAUUGUAAACCCCUGUCAUGUGGGAGCAAAUUAAAAAGAUAGUACCACAAGAGGAAGAGACGGCUAACUAUGUGCCAGCAGCCGCGGGAAUACAGAGGUCUCAAGCGUUGUUCGGAAUCACUGGGCGUAAAGCGUGCGUAGGCUGUUUCGUAAGUCGUGUGUGAAAGGCGCGGGCUCAACCCGCGGACGGCACAUGAUACUGGGAGACUAGAGUAAUGGAGGGGGAACCGGAAUUUUCGGUGUAGCAGUGAAAUGCGUAGAUAUCGAGAGGAACACUCGUGGCGAAGGCGAGUUCCUGGACAUUAACUGACGCUGAGGCACGAAGGUCAGGGGAGCGAAAGGGAUUAGAUACCCUUGUAGUC
RNAcentral lists this ribosomal RNA (446 nucleotides) under uncultured bacterium. RNAcentral describes it as "partial 16S ribosomal RNA". It matches the Rfam family "Bacterial small subunit ribosomal RNA", at positions 338 to 795 of the family's 1533-position model. The record is from RNAcentral.